This 341-nucleotide unclassified non-coding RNA is filed under the name soil metagenome. RNAcentral describes it as "partial contains 5.8S ribosomal RNA, internal transcribed spacer 2, and large subunit ribosomal RNA". The stretch from base 1 to 120 matches the Rfam family "5.8S ribosomal RNA", at positions 35 to 154 of the family's 154-position model. The record is from RNAcentral.
GAUGAAGAACGUAGCGAAAUGCGAUAAGUAGUGUGAAUUGCAGAAUUCAGUGAAUCAUCGAAUCUUUGAACGCACAUUGCGCCCUUUGGUAUUCCAAAGGGCAUGCCUGUUCGAGCGUCAUUUGUACCCUCAAGCUUUGCUUGGUGUUGGGCGUCUUGUCUCUAGCUUUGCAGGAGACUUGCCUUAAAGUAAUUGGCAGCCGGCCUACUGGUUUCGGAGCGCAGCACAAGUCGCACUCUCUAUCAGCAAAGGUCUAGCAUCCAUUAAGCCUUUUUUUCAACUUUUGACCUCGGAUCAGGUAGGGAUACCCGCUGAACUUAAGCAUAUCAAUAAGCGGAGGA